Molecule: small RNA, 368 nt
Filed under: Arabidopsis thaliana (thale cress)
Lineage: Eukaryota; Viridiplantae; Streptophyta; Magnoliopsida; Brassicales; Brassicaceae
Description: ATSL270930
Source: RNAcentral
AUUAGAAGAUACAAAGCCAAAGACUCAUACGGAUUUCGUCUACACCAUCAAGGCUUUGAGAAGUAAGAAGAAGCUUGGUUAGUGUUUUGGAGUCAAAUAUGACUUGAUGUCAUGUGUAUGAUUGAGUAUAAGAACUACAACCGCAACCAGAUCUUAAAAGCCUAAGUAGUAUUUCUUUGUUAGAUGACACAAAGCCAAAGAUUUAUACGGAUUUCCGCUACACCAUCAUAGCUUUGAGAAGCAAGAAGAAGCUUGGUUAGUGUUUUGAAGUCAAAUAUUUUUCAUGUACAAAGCUCGUUAAGAGCAUAUAGGGUAUCCUUACAUAGCGGGUGGGACCCACGACAAAUGGUUCAUAAAGUCUUCAAAAA